Molecule: long non-coding RNA, 1212 nt
Filed under: Anser brachyrhynchus (Pink-footed goose)
Lineage: Eukaryota; Metazoa; Chordata; Aves; Anseriformes; Anatidae
Description: lncRNA (ENSABRG00000015414.1)
Source: RNAcentral
AUGAACAUAAAAGGAGCGAGCCAGAUUCCCAGCGCUGUCAGAGGGCUGGAAAAUCCCUGCCGCCGAGCAUCAGGGCCCUCCUCGCCCAUGCGCAGAGCCCGGCCCGCCCUGGGCGCAGCGCUCCCUGCCCCAGGUACUUCGACCCCCCUGCGCCAGGCCGAAUCCUGCCCCCGGUGCCGGGAACGGCCCAGCUCCACCUGCACCUCGCCGCCGUCCCCAGAAGGGACACGGGCGUCCCCCGCGGUGUUUGGGACAGGAGGAUGCUCCCGGCCGGCUCCCGGCCACUCCUGCAAGCCCCGGCUUGCUGCCCUCGGGGCUGGGAAGGAGCGUGGCUGCGUGGGUUUGGAGGCAGGAGCUGGGAGAGGUUUUCGCACGGCUGCCCGGGGAGGGGGAGCGCGGCAGGCUGUGUCCCGGCACGCCCAGCCCACGCCAGCACCACGCCAGGAAGCCCCUCCUGCAGAUGCCAGCUCAGCCGGGCUCGGGGCUCGGCCAGGAGCUGCUCUGGCCUUCCCGUUUCCUGCCCCCUGGGCUAAAGCUCCUGCCCUGGUUUCCUUCCUCCCCUCUCCGCCCAGCCAGGCCUUUGUUCCCCGCACCUUCGGGUGCCACCGGGCGGCCUCCCUGCAGGGCUCCGCAUCUCACCAGCAAGGUGAGCCCGGCACAAGCAGCAUCCCUCUCACCCGCAGCACCCAGGCCUCUCCUCUUCCCCACUGGCACGCUCCAGGACAUGCCACGCAGCACCCGCUGCUGCCCCUACCUCAGCCCUGCCACCAGCCCACGGAUCCGCUCCUUGGGGACACCUCGCAGCCGAGGCAUCAGGACCCCACAGAGCCACCAGCACGCUCCAGGCGGUACCUUCAGGGCCGGGAGCAGCUCCGGGGUGCAGAGCAGUGCACAGGGUCACGCCGCCCCAUCAGACAGCACCCGCCACCCUGCGACACAGCCCAGCAUCGCCACAGGGCCCCCCCGAAGCUGGCUGUGUCCCCUGGGAACGUCCUCAUUGCUCCUCACCCCGCCACUGCCCAGCCCCAGGCUCCUCAGGAGCCGCUUGCGGCCCCAGCGCCUCCGCCCUGGGCCCCACGCACCGCUCUGCCCUGCCCUGCCUUUCCCGAGCCCCUGCAGCGGGGCUGGCCUGCGCGCACAUCGCCUCUUGCUUCACAAGGCCCCUGCCCUAGGCCCUCGGAGGCUCCUCCGUCUGAUCAGACCCUUUGUUAA